CCUCCCCCCGCCGUGUUCGCGCUGCAUCACCAUGGAUACGGUCACGUGACACAGCCCCACGUGCCCGGCCCCGCCCAUCCCCCCCCCCAGGUGAUCACGCUGCUCCACGCCCCGCCCCCCGGGCAGGCCCCGCCCCCGGCGCUGCCGGCGCAGAGCCCCGCCCCCUUCGGCUUCCUCGGCCACGCCCCAGUUCAGUCCCAGCAGCUCCAGUUCCACCCCGGGACCUGAUUGACAGCGCGGGGGGCGGGGCCAACCCGAACAGGGGCGGGGCCUCGCUCCCCACCCCGCCCCUCCCCCACCCCUGUUUUGUAUUAAUUUAUAGUGGGGAGGGGGAGGGGCCGGGGUGGGGGAUGGGAAUUUGGGGCAGAAACGGCCGAAAAAAGGGAAAAACAAAAUAAAAUUUAAGAAACAGAAUAAAAAUGAAAAAAAAAAAAC
Long non-coding RNA from Zonotrichia leucophrys gambelii, 435 nucleotides. RefSeq lists it as uncharacterized. The transcript has 3 exons. The record is from RefSeq and is a predicted model, not a curated record. NCBI's taxonomy places the organism in Eukaryota, Metazoa, Chordata, Aves, Passeriformes, Passerellidae.